Molecule: ribosomal RNA, 242 nt
Filed under: uncultured bacterium
Lineage: Bacteria
Description: partial 16S ribosomal RNA
Rfam family: Bacterial small subunit ribosomal RNA
Source: RNAcentral
UAACGCGUGAGCAACCUGCCUUGAAGUGGGGACAACAGUUGGAAACGACUGCUAAUACCGCAUAAUAUAUCUGAGUCGCAUGGCUUGGAUAUCAAAGAUUUAUCGCUUCAAGAUGGGCUCGCGUCUGAUUAGGUAGUUGGCGGGGUAACGGCCCACCAAGCCGACGAUCAGUAGCCGGACUGAGAGGUUGAACGGCCACAUUGGGACUGAGAUACGGCCCAGACUCCUACGGGAGGCAGCAG